Molecule: ribosomal RNA, 725 nt
Filed under: uncultured Photobacterium sp.
Lineage: Bacteria; Pseudomonadati; Pseudomonadota; Gammaproteobacteria; Vibrionales; Vibrionaceae
Description: bacterial SSU rRNA
Rfam family: Bacterial small subunit ribosomal RNA
Source: RNAcentral
CUUAACUGAACCUUCGGGGAACGUUAAGGGCGGCGAGCGGCGGACGGGUGAGUAAUGCCUGGGAAUAUGCCCUGAUGUGGGGGAUAACUAUUGGAAACGAUAGCUAAUACCGCAUAAUCUCUUCGGAGCAAAGAGGGGGACCUUCGGGCCUCUCGCGUCAGGAUUAGCCCAGGUGGGAUUAGCUUGUUGGUGAGGUAAUGGCUCACCAAGGCAACGAUCCCUAGCUGGUCUGAGAGGAUGAUCAGCCACACUGGAAUUGAGACACGGUCCAGACUCCUACGGGAGGCAGCAGUGGGGAAUAUUGCACAAUGGGGGAAACCCUGAUGCAGCCAUGCCGCGUGUGUGAAGAAGGCCUUCGGGUUGUAAAGCACUUUCAGUAGGGAGGAAGGUAGUGUAGUUAACACCUGCAUUAUUUGACGUUACCUACAGAAGAAGCACCGGCUAACUCCGUGCCAGCAGCCGCGGUAAUACGGAGGGUGCGAGCGUUAAUCGGAAUUACUGGGCGUAAAGCGCAUGCAGGCGGCCUGUUAAAUCAGAUGUGAAAGCCCGGGGCUUAACCUCGGAAUUGCAUUUGAAACUGGCAGGCUAGAGUUUUGUAGAGGGGGGUAGAAUUUCAGGUGUAGCGGUGAAAUGCGUAGAGAUCUGAAGGAAUACCAGUGGCGAAGGCGGCCCCCUGGACAAAGACUGACGCUCAGAUGCGAAAGCGUGGGGAGCAAACAGGAUUA